Molecule: ribosomal RNA, 274 nt
Filed under: uncultured bacterium
Lineage: Bacteria
Description: partial 16S ribosomal RNA
Rfam family: Bacterial small subunit ribosomal RNA
Source: RNAcentral
AUACGGGGGGUGCAGGCGUUAAUCGGAAUUACUGGGCGUAAAGCGCGCGUAGGCGGUUUGUUAAGUCGGAUGUGAAAUCCCCGGGCUCAACCUGGGAAUUGCAUUCGAUACUGGCAAGCUAGAGUAUGGUAGAGGGAAGUGGAAUUUCAGGUGUAGCGGUGAAAUGCGUAGAUAUCUGAAGGAACAUCAGUGGCGAAGGCGACUUCCUGGACCAAUACUGACGCUGAGGUGCGAAAGCGUGGGGAGCAAACAGGAUUAGAUACCCCUGUAGUCC